RNAcentral lists this ribosomal RNA (604 nucleotides) under uncultured fungus. RNAcentral's name for it is "eukaryotic LSU rRNA". It matches the Rfam family "Eukaryotic large subunit ribosomal RNA", at positions 23 to 641 of the family's 3401-position model. The record is from RNAcentral. Lineage: Eukaryota; Fungi.
ACCCGCUGAACUUAAGCAUAUCAAUAAGCGGAGGAAAAGAAACCAACAGGGAUUGCCUCAGUAACGGCGAGUGAAGCGGCAAAAGCUCAAAUUUGAAAUCUGGCUCUUUCAGGGUCCGAGUUGUAAUUUGUAGAAGAUGCUUCGGGUGUGGUCCCGGUCUAAGUUCCUUGGAACAGGACGUCAUAGAGGGUGAGAAUCCCGUAUGUGACUGGGUACCUACGCUCAUGUGAAGCUCUUUCGACGAGUCGAGUUGUUUGGGAAUGCAGCUCAAAAUGGGUGGUAAAUUUCAUCUAAAGCUAAAUAUUGGCCAGAGACCGAUAGCGCACAAGUAGAGUGAUCGAAAGAUGAAAAGCACUUUGGAAAGAGAGUUAAACAGUACGUGAAAUUGUUGAAAGGGAAGCGCUUGCAAUCAGACUUGCGCCUAGUUGAUCAUCCGGGCUUCUGCCCGGUGCACUCGAUUAGGCUCAGGCCAGCAUCGGUUUGGGUGGUUGGAUAAAGGCUUGGGGAACGUAGCCUCCUUCGGGGGGUGUUAUAGCCCCAGGUGCAAUGCAGCCUACCUGGACCGAGGACCGCGCUUCGGCUAGGAUGCUGGCGUAAUGGUUGU